Molecule: unclassified non-coding RNA, 379 nt
Filed under: uncultured Lysobacteraceae bacterium
Lineage: Bacteria; Pseudomonadati; Pseudomonadota; Gammaproteobacteria; Lysobacterales; Lysobacteraceae
Description: uncultured Xanthomonadaceae bacterium contains 16S-23S intergenic spacer region
Source: RNAcentral
UCACCGUUUACACGGGCAGUCUCCUUAGAGUCCCCAACAUUACUUGCUGGCAACUAAGAAUAGGGGUUGCGCUCGUUGCGGGACUUAACCCAACACCUCACGGCACGAGCUGACGACAACCAUGCAGCACCUGUGUUCGAGUUCCCGAAGGCACCAAUCCAUCUCUGGAAAGUUCUCGACAUGUCAAGGCCAGGUAAGGUUCUUCGCGUUGCAUCGAAUUAAACCACAUACUCCACCGCUUGUGCGGGCCCCCGUCAAUUCCUUUGAGUUUCAGUCUUGCGACCGUACUCCCCAGGCGGCGAACUUAACGCGUUAGCUUCGAUACUGCGUGCCAAAUUGCACCCAACAUCCAGUUCGCAUCGUUUAGGGCGUGGACUAC